RNAcentral lists this ribosomal RNA (305 nucleotides) under uncultured bacterium. RNAcentral describes it as "bacterial SSU rRNA". It matches the Rfam family "Bacterial small subunit ribosomal RNA", at positions 337 to 635 of the family's 1533-position model. The record is from RNAcentral.
GCCUACGGGGCGCAGCAGUAGGGAAUUUUCGUCAAUGGGCGCAAGCCUGAACGAGCAAUGCCGCGUGAACGAGGAAGGCCUUCGGAUCGUAAAGUUCUGUUGAAGGGGAAAAAGAGCGGAGAGAGGAAAUGGUCUCCGAUUGAUAUUACCCUUCGAGGAAGUCACGGCUAACUACGUGCCGGCAGCCGCGGUAAUACGUAGGUGGCGAGCGUUAUCCGGAAUGAUUGGGCGUAAAGGGUGCGUAGGCGGCCUGCUAAGUCUGGAGUGAAAGGUACCGGCUCAACCGGUACAGGCUCUGGAAGCUG